ACCACCACCACCACCUGCUGUCGUCGACGAGACUGAAUGCGAUGCUUUGCUGUCUGAUUUGGAGGCGAGUGGAAUCGAAGUGGCCAGCAAAUUCAACUGCCUGACAUUUCCCAAAAUGUCUUCGGAAAGCAAGACCGCUAUGCGAGAAGCUAUGGCCAACAAGCGGGUCGACGUUCCAUCGUUCAUCGUCGUGAUGAUGCCCGCCGCUCAACAACACAGAACGACCUACCGCAUUGUAAGAGAUUAAGCAGAUUUCUUCCUGCGUUUUGUUUUGUUCAUUUUUUUUUACUUAAAAGCACGUAUUCCACACCGGAAUUGGCCGGAUUUUGGGCCAUUCCGGACCAAUUCCCGUAGAUUUGGCGGCUUAAUUCGGGACGGAAAACGUGUCUUGAAGAACACACUCUGUUUCUUACUCUUGUUCAAUUUAUUUUUGCAGACUGUUCCAACUGGAAUUGUGCAAAAGCUGCAGAUGAAAUAUGGGGAUCGGGUGAAUCUCAAGGUUUCGGGUGGCGGCGGGUCGGGUGGUUUUGAAAUUGUACUGAAGCAUUCCGGACCAUCGUUGACGAUGGUGGGUAAAAAAUGGACUGGGUUCUACUAUGCGAAUCAGUUGAAGGAAGGGGACGUCUGCCUUUUCCAGGUUAUCAAGCCCUCCUCCAGCAAUGGAUUUGAGAUCCUGGUUGCCAUAUUUCGAGUUUGACUGUAUUUGUUGAAGGUCAAAGGUUUCGAAAGGUAGGGGGCCGAAACAAAACAGACCAUCUAUGUUAUCUACCGGAUUUAGUUAUGUUAGUUACGUCGGAAUCAAGAACUUAUUUACUUAGGUUUCACAAUUGUUAGAGUCAUGUGGCCAGGGAUUUGAGUUCCAAGUUCACAUAUUUGAGGUUUGGUUCUUGGUUGUGAUGUAAUGUGGGUUUUGGACAGGUGAUGUUACUUGUCCUAAUCGGUUGGAAUCAAGACGUUAUUAGUCAAUGUAAGGAUGUUUAAUGUUCCCGUGGAGUUUAGUCAUAUAAGUUUGGUUCUUUCAGGCUAAGUUAUCGAUUUGAGAUUCAGGUUUUCAUUUUUCAAGCUCGAUUGGGGAGUCAUCUCGGUAGGAAACAGUUGCAGCAGUGUUGCAGACAUUCAAGAGAUCCCAUAAAUCCAUAGGCCAAACAAUAAGGGAACUCAGAUGAGGACAAUUUCAGUAAAGCCCAUAGUAGUGGUAGUGCUAAUGUUGGUUUUAGUAUUGAACACAUUGAGACUCAAGUUAUGUUGUGGCACUUUAGUCUUGAUCAUCCAAGUUUUACAUAUUUUAAAAAAUUGCUACCUGCAUUAUUUCAUAAUAAAGAUUCAAAGGAUUUGAGAUGUGAUGUGUGUCAACUUGCGAAGCAUAUGCGUUCUUCUUAUCCUGGAAUCGACUAUCGACCUACCACACCUCUUAGUGUAGUUCAUAGUGAUAUAUGGGGACCUAUGAAAGUCAAGAACAUCAAUGGGGCUCGUUGGUUCAUAACAUUUAUUGAUGAUCACACUAAGAUGACGUGGACUUUCUUAAUGAAAGAAAAGUCUGAAACGGUCCAUAUUUUUCAGCUAUUUCACAAAAUGGUUGCUACCCAGUUUUAGACUCGCAUCAAGGUUAUGAAAACUGACAAUGCCCACGAUUACUUCAACAAAGGCCUCGACUCCUUUCUACACCUUCAUGGCAUCAUUCAUGCAAGUUCGUGCGUCGACACCCCUCAAUAAAACGGCAUUGUCAAACGCAAGAACAGACACUUACUCGAUGUUGCUCGCUCACUCAUGUUUACACACAAUGUUAUGAAGCAUUUGUGGGGAGAGGCUGCUCUAACGACCACAUACCUAAUCAAUCGUAUGCCCAAUAGGGUCUUGAACUUCAAUACUCCUCGGCAUGUUCUUCUGGCAGAUUUUCCCCAUCUUGUCAGUUUCUCAGCUGAUCUUCCUCCUCGAGUAUUUGGUUGCACGGUUUUCAUUCACAACUCCGCACCCAACCGCAAUUGUGAGUCAGGGGCAGCUCCCAACUGGUGUUGUAAGUCAGGGGAGUCUUAAAUGUCAUCAGAUGAACCAUUAGAAAAACAUCUUCUUGUUUAUCAAAGAAUAAAGAAUACUGUGAUUGAGGAUGAUACUCUUGAAACAGAAAACAAUGGAGGAGAAAUUACGAAUGCUGGUCGAGAAGUGAUAGGUAAAGAGAUUAAAGAAGAGGGUGAUGAUUUGCGUGAUCUAGAGGUUCUUAUUGCUCUAAGGAAAAGUGUAAGAAAUUGCACAAAAUAUCUGAUUGCUCGACAAAUCAGCUAUGAUGGUCUUAGCAAUUCUCACGGAGCAUUUAUAUCUGCUCUCGACGAGGAACAAAUACCUAAGAAUAUUGAAGAAGCUAUGAAACAUCCAAAAUGAAAAAGUGUUGUCAUGGAGGAGUUACGAGCUUUGGAGAAAAAUAAUACAUGGGACACCCUUCCGAAUGGAAAGAACACAGUUGAUUGAAAGUGGAUCUUUACCAUUAAAAAAAGAGCAGACAGGUCGAUUGAAAGAUAUAAAGCUAGGGUGGUGGCUAGAGGUUUCACCCAAACAUAUGGCGUGGAUUAUGAUAAAACCUUUGCACCAGUGGCAAAGCUCAACAGUAUACGGGUGUUGUUUUCUCUGGCAGCAAACCUGGACUGGCCAUUACGUCAACUUGAUGUGAAAAAUGUCAUUCUUAACGGAGAACUUGAAGAAAAGGUCUACAUGGUGUUUCCUCUGGGAGUGAAAAAUUCGAGAGAAGGGGAAGUUUGUAAGCUUCGCAAGGCUUUGUACGGGUUGAAACAAUCUCCCCGAGCCUGGUUUGACAGAUUUACCAAGGCUGUGAAGCAAGGAGGAUACUACCAAUGUCAGACCGAUCACACCUUAUUUGUGAAGCACUCACCUACAGGGAAGAUCUCCAUCCUCAUUGUGUACGUGGAUGUAUCUAUAAUCACUAGAGACGAUGUAGAAGAAAUUAAGAGACUCAAGGAUCAACUGGCAAAAGAGUUUGAACUCAAAGACUGGAGAAACCUUAAAUACUUCCUAAGAAUGGAGAUUUCGAGAUCUCAGAAAGGUAUCGUAAUCUCUCAACAGAAAUAUGUUUUGGACUUACUAAAGGAAGUGGGAAUGCUUGACUGUAAGCCUAUUGACACUCCCAUGGAGUCGAAUAAAACUCUUAGCAGGAAGGAGGAUAUUCAUGCAGUUAAAAAAGGUCGGUAUCAACGAUUGGUUGGGGAACUGAUUUAUUUAGCUCACACUCGACCCGAUAUAGCUUUUGUAGUUGGGAUUGUCAGCCAGCACAUGCACUGUCCUAAUGAAGAACACAUGAGAAUGGUUCACAAAAUCCUAAGGUACUUGAAGAGUUCACCUAAAAAGGGAAUCUACUUCAAGAAAACUGCUCAACGGGGAAUUACUGUCUAUACUGAUACAAGUUGGGAUGGUGAACUCACAGAUCGAAGGUCUACAACUGGUUAUUGUAGUUAUGUUUGGAAAAAUCUUGUGACAUGGCGAAGUAAGAAACAAAAGGUUGUGGCUAGAAGCAGCGCUGAGACUGAGUAUCGAGCUCUCGCACUUGGAAUCUAUGAGCGUAUCUGGUUGAAGCGCAUCAGAAUGAGCUGAAGAUUGAGAUUGAUGGUCCUAUGCAGUUUCUGUGUGAUAGCCAAGCAGCAAUCAACAUAGUCCCAAACAGCAAUCAGCAUAGUCCGUAAUCCUGUUCAUCAUGAUCGAACUAAACAUGUGGAGGUAGAUCGUCAUUUUAUAUCUGAAAAUGUUAGUUCUGGUGUGGUUCGAGUGGAAUAUGUUCCUACGAAGUAGCAGAUUGUAGAUGUUCUUAGGAAGUCUCUUUCAAAAGAUGUGUUUGACCAUUUACUGUCCAAACUUGAGUUGAUUAACAUCUACACCAAACUUGCGAGAGAGUGUUGAAGAAUAUUACAUUUUCCUUAUUAGUAUAGAAAUAAGUUUUAAUAUUUUUCCUUAUUAAUAUAAAAAUAGUACUUAGAAUUUUCAUAUUUAAAGAAAAAUUCUCCUAUCCUAAUUCUAUAUAAACCUAUAUAAUUUUUAUAUAAUCCUUCAUAUUUUAAUACAAUUGAAAACUUUCUCUCAUAAAUUCAAUAAAUGCAAACCCUUCUUCACUCUUUUGAACCAUCACAGAGUAAAAAUACAACAAUUUGAAACAACCAUCUCAGACCUAAACUGGUUUCUUCAGUAAGAACAUGUAUGGUCUAAAAGAACAAAGACUGGUUUUGAAAGAAGUAUAAUAGUGUGUAAACAAGCUUACCACUUUUCUCCAGUCAUGAAACUGACUCAUAACUCUCAACUUCCUUCCCAAUCCCUUCAAUCAAAGAGAAGUAUGUACUAUCAUCAGGAGGAAUCCCUCUGCCAGCCAUUUCCCUUAAAUAGCACCUCAGCAAAAUCCCCUUCUUGAUUCUUACACAACCCUUGAAUCAGUGCAUUAUACGUUAACCUCGUCGGAUUAAACCCUAUACUCACCAUCUCACCCCGACCCCUCAACGCAUCCUUCAUAUCCCCUCUCCUACUAUAACCACUAAUCAGAGUAUUGUAACUGAUAUGAUCCAGUUUAAUCCCCCGGUUCUUCAUCUCCUCAUCAAUCCACGAGCCUCCUCGACUUUCCCCUCCUUGCACCGCCCCUGCAUCAGCGUGUUGUAAGUUACUUCGUCGGGCGAACACUUCACCCUAUCUAUCUCUUUCAACAAUUUGAAUCCACGGUCUAUAUUCCCGCUAGAACAAUGACCAUCGAUUAAAGCAUUGAAUAUUAUCCGAUCCGGAAGAAUCCAAGCUUGAUCUUUAACCUGAACAUUUCAGCAUACAGAACCCAAGCUUUCUCCGUGCGAUUCGAUUUCAGAAACAGAUUCAGCAUUUCAUUACACGUCUCGACUUUGGGAAGCAAAAUUUUCUCCUUCAUUGCAUCAAAACAGACAAACGCAUCGUCGCCUCUUUUCAAUUUGCAGCAAGCCUUGAUCAACAAAUCGAAAAGUAACGAACUUUCGAUCCCAAACUCAUCCUUAGCAAUCGCCAACUCGUUAAAAACUUCCAAAACGUCGACCACCGCCGCUCUAUUAUUAUUCCUAAUGGUUUGUUUCAACAAUUGCAAACUGGUCUUCGGAUAAGGCGACUGAGACACCACUGCCACAGCAAGACACUUAUUUUUCAAAUCGAGGGAGUCAAAUCCGACGCAGUUGACGAACCUGAGCGCCGAAUCCGGUUUUUUCUUAAGAGAAAGUAGAGUUGCGGAAAUUGCUGGAGCUGUCAGUUUGCGCGCCAGGUGUUCGACGGAAUGCCACUGAGAAGAUUGUAUUAAGUUGAAGAUCUCACCUCCUCCUCCUUCCCCGUUCUUCUCCAAGUUAGCUUCUUCUUCUUCCCCUGGAAUAAUACUCAGUGUCGAUUUCGGCCGCGGAGGAAAACCGGCAGCAAUUGGGAUAACCGGGGAUCUGUCUGGGUUGAACUGGGGAGGUUUUGAAGCUAUUGAGUUUAAGGAAUCGAGCUUUCAACAGUCUGUUUGGCUUCAUUUAUCUGACAAGAUGAAUCCAAGUUUAUCGAUUUUGAAUUUUGUUUGUAGAAGUUUCGCCAGUGGAAGUUGAGGAACCGGAAGCCGCGAAGAGGAAGAAGAGUUGAGUUGAGGUUUCUCCGGUGGAAGUUGAGCUUGGAGGAGUGGACGGCGGUGGAAGAGAAAAUCAUGUUGGGCCAUACCGCCCAUGUAACUUCUUAUACGGGUCGAAAGUAUUGAUCCUACGGGCCGCUCCAAGUUCUCUUACGGCCCGCUGACAAGUACAUUGACAUUAUUACAUAUUUCGACUUGAGUCGUUCUUUUCGAUCACCAAUGCACAAUGAGUACGUUAAGUAAUACGGGUGGAAUCAGGUCCGAUUUGAUCGGGUUUAGGCCGAUCCGGACAGGAUUAAGUAGGAUCAGAUUAGGUUUAGGUUUAUAAAUUAUGGAAAUUCAGGUUUUCAAAUCCGAAUAAGCUCAAACCCGAUGAAAAUCCAAGUUGACUCAAGUUAAUUCUACUUCAAUAACGCAUAGAUAUUAGGGUUGGAAACCCGACAGUCCGGUCAAACCGAACUUCGGAUAAACCAAAACCUGGACUAAAUAGAAUCAGGUUGGAUUUAUGUUUGUAAAAUAUAGAGAUUCGAGUUUCAAGCGAUCCUGAUAAAACCCGUAUAAAUCCAAACUUGAUAAAAGCCCGAUUUGUCUUGAUCGGUUUGCCCGGUGAUUCCUUGCCCUAUGUAAUACGCCAAAAAUCCAAUCGAACACAACCUAAUCGAGACAGACUCAACCCACCCAAAAUUCGAAUUCGCCACAAGCCUCGAACCCCGGGUAUAUGUCAGGCUCCAACCGCUUGCUUUGAUGUUGUCAAGCAAGCAAGCUAUCCCUAGCAAGUUGUGCCGCCGUAUCUUGGGCAGUUGUUCAUUUGCAUGCAACUUGCUGGUGAGUAAUAAUAUGGAACAGAACAAAAGAAAGAAGCAUACGGAGGAUGAGCUCUCUCCUUAAUUUUUCUCUCUCUAUUAAGUGGUAAUCAUGCACCCGACUUCGAAUUAAAAGUAAGGAAAAAAUUAAUUUUUAUCGGUGCUGUUUAUUUUUUAUUUAAUGAUUGAUAUAUUUAUUUUAAUUAAGGAUAAAAUUAAUAUUUUAUUUUUUAAUUAUGUUUUUUUAAUGUAUUUCAGUUAGGGUUUUGGGUUUAGUAUUAAGAUUUUUAUUGUGGUUUUGAAUUUUGAGUUUUAGGGUCUAGAGUAUUGGAUUUUGGAUUUUGAAUUUUAGAUUUUGAAUUUCGAUUUUAGGUUUUGGAUUUAAAGGUUUAAGGUCUAGAGUAUUGAAUUUCAAUUUUAAAUUUUUGAUUUUGAGUUUUGAUUUUAGGUUUUUGAUUUUUAAAUUUAGGGAGAUCGGAAGAGCGGUUCAGCAGGAAUGCCGGGAGAUUAUUGGAUUUUCAAUUUUAAAUUUUAAUUUGAAUUAUCAAAUAUUUACCCUUCUUUAGUUUUUUAUUAAAAUGACAAAUUUGGCCCUUUUUAUUUUGUUUGCUGGCGGCAAGGAUAUCCGGACUCUCAUGCACCCCACCAUUCCCCAAAUCAAUAUACAUACAAAACGAUAUGCAACUUGCCAGUAGCCAUUAUUAUUAUUAUUAUUAUUUGUUGGCAUCUAUUCUCUACAGUAUUAGAUUAUUAAGAAACAUAAAAAGGGUAUAAUUAAUUUGAAUGAUGUACGGGAAUAACCCAUUCAUCAAGGCAUUGCGAUCGAGUUUCCUUAUCCAAAUAAUAUUCCAUGGUCAUACAUGCAUGCAUUUACGUGUGUUAAUAUUUACCUUGUUGUCUCUAUACUGCUCGCAUGCAUGCAUGUAUACUCAUGGGUGACAACGAUAUGCAUGGGAAAAAUUGUACGAUACAGACUAUUUCGAUGGGACGUGUAUGAAUGAAAUGACGAUUUCGACAAAACGGAAACAUUUUUGUGGUUUGCCCUAUGUAGCUAGCUGACUGUGUAAAUAUAUGUGUAACUGUAUGAAACAAAAUAAUAAUAACUGGAAGUAAGUGAUGAAGAGACUACUUUGACCUUUUGUACACUUUUGCUUGCCAACUAAGCAAAUAAACGAACCAAUAAUUUGUCCAUGGAUUCGGUUUGGUUCCCUCGUCCCUUUCUCAACAACCAAACCUCAAAACAAAUCAAAAAUCCAAACUACCAACUUUACCCUCCAAGUAAUCCUAUACUCCACAGUAACGUCGCGCUUCCUUCACUCCAACGCCAUCCACAAUUUAUACGUCCACGUCUCCAUCACUGUCUGGGAGAACGGUCAUAAGGGCUCAAUCUAGGCGACUGGUAAUAAUCCCGCCACUCCGGAACGUGGUCAUCCACGCGCCAAAUCUUCACCGACCGAUCAAGACUCCCGCUAUACACCACCCACCGUUGAUCUUCUUCGCCCUCCGCUUUAUCCUCACCGUCCGAUCUCCCCACCGCCAAGCACUUGACGGGCCCCUAGUGGCCCCUCAACACAGUAAGGCCUAAGGCAGACGUGGUCCCCACCACCUCUCUCCUUCCUCCACACGCAGAUGCUUUUAUCGGCGGACCCACUGAAAACCAACCCUUCCCCCGCCGUGGCCAGGCAGAGCACCGCCAUCUUGUGUCCCCGGAGCGCUCCGCCGUGCGAGAGGUGCUUCUCCCUCUCCCAGAAGUUCACCAUCCCGUCCGACGACCCGCAGUACACCACUUCCGAUCCGACAUCGCCUCCUCCGCUGCUGCUCACUGCCAACGCCGUCACCGCGCUCUCCUGCUCCAGCAGCGUCUGGACUAAGAAAUGCUUGACGUUUCCUUUCGAUUCCAGCUCCCGCUUCCACACCUUCACAGUCCCGUCCGCGGAUCCGGUGAAAACCAGAGAAUCGAAUCCCGUCGCCACCGCGUUUAUCGCGUCGUCGUGCGCGUUUAUCGAUUCCAAACACUUGUAAUUAGAAGCACUGCUACCGUUGCGCCUACCGUCUCCGAUUCGCCAUACCUUGAGAGUUUUGUCCCAGGAGCCGGAGUAGAGAAGGCCGAGAUCUGGAUUCAGCGCCAUACAAGAAACAGCAUCGUAAUGCUUGAUUUUCAAAACGUUCUUCCGUCGCCGAAUCUGGACGUAGUUCUUCGGAUUGACGGAGCUCGUAAGCGAAUCCUUGAACGUCGGCAAGCUCCCUAUCCUUCCGUAGGUAGACGAGUUCCUCGACGAGACCUUCCAGAUCCGGAUUUUCCCGUCCUGGUGACCGGUGAAAACCUUAUCGCCGUGGACUACAAUCGCCUUCACGAGUCCGCUGUUCGACUUAAAUCCGGCGAACUCCUUCAAGUCCUUCCACACUCGGAUGUUCUUGCUGUCAGAUCCGGUGUAGAGAAGAUCUCCAGACGCGGCCAGAGAGUAGACGUGGCCUUCCUGCCGCACAAUCGAUCCGAUUAAGCUGUUGUUUGGAAGAAGAGCAGGGGAAGGGAUUAUCCAGGGGGAUUUCAAGUACGGCGAUAGCGUCGGAUUGUUGUUGCUGCUGUUGUUCCAGGGAGAUAGCAGUCCGCCGCCGUAGAAAGGAGAAGAAGCGAAUAGCAGGUCGGCGGGGGCUGGAGUGCCGCUACUGUUCGAGUCCCUCGGGGUGCUAGUCAAGCUUGAGGAAGCGGUCGCGAUGUCAUGAUUAAGCUCAGCGUCUUCGUGGAGCAGGAGUGCACCGAGCUUGAGCCGGCGAUUAGGAGCCGGCGGAUCUUGUGACUUUUCGUACCUCAUAUUUUGAAUUGAAUGAUGAUUGGAGAAGAAGAAGAGAUGUUUGUUUGAGAGAUUGUUAAUUAUUAUUAUUGAUUGGAGAAGAAAGGAUUGGGAAAAUACUGAGGAGAGGGGUAUUUAUUGGGGAGUGAUGAUGGUACACGUGGCGGCUAAGCAGGUGACGUAAUUGGAUUUGGGGCUGCGAAAUUGGACGUUAGCCAAACUUUAGGCGUGUGCUGGUAAUUAGGAGACGGGGGAAUAAUAAAAUGCGAAAAAGUGUUCAUACUCCCAUGUGCAAGAUUUUGUUAAUAAAAAAAAGAUUGUAAUUAAAUAAGAUGACCACGAAUUAGGCGAGUUUAAUUUUUUGUUUCGGCGGGGUGGGAAAAGAUUUGUCAAAACCCGAAAAAGGGCCGUGUAAAAGGCAAAUUUUGGGAAUAUGCUUGGCGUUGCCAUUUUGUUGACCGGCCCUUUUCCUUUUCCUGAGAAACCAAGUUAUUGACCUUUGACUUUGUCAACAACAAUCGUCUCCUUCCUUUCCAGACCGAUAUUUCACCAUUUCAAAAUUAAAAUGAAGUGUAACCGGCCGGCAGCUGCCACAUUGUCGACGGCGGAAAAUAGGUAAUCGAAAACGACGCUUUCCUUAGCUCCUACCCUGAUUACCGGCCACGUAGCAACAAAGCUUACGAGCUCCCACCUCAUUAUCUGGUCAUGUUGUAGGUUUCCUAGUACGUAACGUUAGCGUGAUGAUUGGAUUUAUGCAUGGCAAAUUCAAUAAUUAAUUUCCGCGCUGCAUCAGGACUGCCACGUGUUCGUCCAUCACUCGUGAAGUUUCAUUGUUCAUAUAUGCAUCAGAAAUUACCAGUGAUGUGUGGAUCCAACACACAACUGAUCAGUAAAUGACGCAAAAUAAAAAAAAAAUAUCACCCCAUAACAAGGCGGAGGAGACGGCCGGUAAAUAUUAUUUUACCGUUUAUUUUCAAUUUAAAGUACAUACUUAUGAUUUUUUGAAUUUGAUUCGUUACCAUUUUAAUACAUGCUCAGUGCUUAGUCAGGAAGCGAAUUAGAGGGAGUAAGAGAGAGUUUCAAUUUUCUCCUUUUCUAAUUCCGAAUAUUAAAUAUAUAUAAAUUUUUGGAAGCCUUUUAUUAUUUCAUUUAUUUAGUGGUAUUUCAAUUAGGUUCUUCCUCCUACUUGAUUGUUUAUGAUAAAUCAUAUAUUAAAUUUACCGUAAUCAAACCUAGCUAUAACAGGUCAUAAAAAUAAAUUUAAUCAAAAUUAGUAAAACAUUCAAAUCGGUUUCAACUAAAAAUUAAAAUGCAUAAUCUUUUUUUCAUAUUUAUUAGUAUUGGAUUUCGGAAAUUAGAACCACAAACUCUUAUGAUAACGGAAACCGGCCGGUCCAUAUCUAAAUUUUCUGAACCGGUCACUAUUCGUUUCUAACGUCGAUUCCUUACAACUCUAGCACACAGUUUCCCUUAAGGUCAAGGCGCUUUAAUUAAAUCAGCAAUCUUUUCCAUAAAUACGAAAAUGUCAAACUCCAACAAUAAUACAACAAAACUUUCCUGGACCAUAAACAAUUAUUUUAAUUUUUUGUGGUACAAAUUUCAAGUGAAAUGUACGGCUACAAUAAUUUACAAUAGAUCUUGAAUGAAUAUGUGUAUAUGCAUAACAAUAGUCUGAUAGUCAUCACAUUCAAAUCAUAAAAGGUUGUACGUAUUAAACAUUUUUAGCCACGGUCGUCUAGUGUGGACAAAAAAAAAUUCUUGAUUGUGAAAUGUCCAAAUAAAGAAAAUGUUCCUUUUGCAAUUAUGACAAUCUGUCUUCUUUAAUGAGAAUAGUUUGUAUUUAUAUAUAAUCUGAUACUAAGCAAUGUGACUUCCUUCUAACAAACAAUCACAUCGUAGUGAUCCUAAUGUCAUCGAGCAAAGAAAAGGGUUAGAAGGCAAUCGAAGUAGAAAAUUUUGAAAAUUCAUUUAGAAAACGGUUAAUGAGAUGUAUACGAGCCAAAAGAAUAUGAGUAGAUAUCUUUAAAAAAUUGAUAAAAAGAGAGGAGACAAAAUCACGAAUGUUUAUAGACACAAUAAGAGGAAAACUAAGCAACUCCCACCAAUCCGACUCUGUACAAUCACGCACAUCAGAAGACAUCGACGAGAUUCGAAUCACUGUGGUUACCCUUUCGAAAUGUGUGCGCAAUUAUGUGCUUUGAUUUCAGAGUAAUUAGUUACACACUUGGAAUGUAACUUUGAACAAUGUAGCAUGCAGCAUUUUUGUAUAGGUUCAUCAAGUUGAGUGCAAUCUCGCAGUCUAGAUCCGCUAGCUUUUCGGCUGCACGGAAUCAAAAGUCAAUAUACCUAAAUCCUCCUUGGGAGGAAAACAGUCAAAACGAAGACAAAUGACCUGCCGGAAGCUGACACGUCAACCCGGUGAAAAUUGUUUUUGUACGUUAAUUACCGCCACGUGACAACAAGUUUACGGCUGACGAGGUGCCACGUCUUUAUCUGGAGUGCGUGAGCGUGAUGAUUGGAUUAUGGCAUGGCAUGGCAAAUCUCAAUACUCUGCAUGAGUAAAAGAAAAUCUGCGUUUUGGUUCGGACGUCGCUAGCUUCAAAGUUAAAUGUGGAACAGCCACGUAUCAGUCGGUAGCUCGUGGCAAAUCAUUUUACCCCUCAGAUUUUUUGUAUUUAUGUAGUGAGAUUGAAGAUCCAUUUGAAGAAUUUGUCGAUCACUAUUGUACUAGCUAUGAACGGAGCUCUACGAACAUAGCAUAAAUUAGGAGCGCCAACUUUCAGAUCCAACAACAACGAUUUCAUGAUCAAAACAUGCACUGAAUCGGAUAUGAAUCGAAAUUAUUUAUCGAGCAAGUAAUUCACGAAUAUAUUUUUUAACCAUAAUACUAAGUCAUAAUAAUACCCCAAAAAAUUAUUCGUUGUGCUUUUUUAGUUAAAGCAAAUUGCCUGUAAAGAUUAAAUGUACCACCGAUGAUUUUGUUAACUAAGUAAUAGCAAAUGUUAUAAGUACUGAACCGAGAUUAUGAUUAACAUGUAUCAAGUACUGAGCCAAAAACAUUGAAUCGAAUUUAAAAUUGUACUAAGCCAAACUCAAAAUUAAAUAACCAUAAAUAUAUAAUAAUUUAAUAUACAUUUAAUCAGAUCGUAUAAAAUAUGAAAUACACUAAUAUACAUAUAAAAAUAUCUUAAUCCAUCGCNNNNNNNNNNNNNNNNNNNNNNNNNNNNNNNNNNNNNNNNNNNNNNNNNNNNNNNNNNNNNNNNNNNNNNNNNNNNNNNNNNNNNNNNNNNNNNNNNNNNNNNNNNNNNNNNNNNNNNNNNNNNNNNNNNNNNNNNNNNNNNNNNNNNNNNNNNNNNNNNNNNNNNNNNNNNNNNNNNNNNNNNNNNNNNNNNNNNNNNNNNNNNNNNNNNNNNNNNNNNNNNNNNNNNNNNNNNNNNNNNNNNNNNNNNNNNNNNNNNNNNNNNNNNNNNNNNNNGUUUCACUAAAUUAGUCAUAUAUUUUCCAGUGAUCUCGUCACCCGAAUGAUUCUACGUUGAUUAAUUAAUUAGUAGUUGCGGCCUUGCGAGGAAACAAUGGCCAUAUAUAUAUAUAUAUAUAUAGCAUUAAAAAUACACUGAUUAAUUAAACAGAAAUAAAGACAUGUUGCGUAGAUUAAUUAAACUGAACUAAAGUAAUGUGUCGUAUUAACAUGUGACUGUGUCUUUAAUAGCGGGACAGUUCCCCCCCUACAGAUAUGCUUGUGGUAUAUAAACCAUAUUAUAAUUAUUAAACUAAGUUAAGUUGUUUGCCACAUAUGGUAAUUAAUUAGUGUUUGGUGUAUCCGUUCGUAUGUACGAGAGACAUAACAAAUUGGACAAAACUAGCAAAACCUGGCCACCGAAAGUGCCGACAAAUUUCUGUAUUAAUUUAUUAGGUGCCGUUUAGAUACACCAUGAUCAUCAUUAUUAAUUCUAUAUCAAAUUUAAUAGGGGAUUAAUAAGUCAAUCUCUACUGAUAAUGUAGUGUGAGGAGUAGGUUUGGAAUCUAGGUGAAAAGGGAUUUUAGGAUUUUAGGACGAUUCUGAAUCGUCAGAUUUUAUUGGUUUUAGAUCUAACGAUCCGUACAAAAAGGAUGUGAAAGUCUUUUCAACAAAUUCAUUUAUUUUAUUAUUUUUAUAAACGUACACGGCCACCUCAUCGUCGACGUUGCACGACGACUUCUCGGUCACCGUCCGGUGAAUUUUCAGGCAAGACUCCGGUCACCGGCCGGUGACUUUUCGGCGAGACCCCGAUUACCGGCAAAUGAUUUUCUGGCGAUACUUCAGUCACCGUCUGGUCACAUUUUUGUCGAGUCUCCUACAAUUUUUUUGAUGCAAAUUUAUCACCGGUUAUAGUUUUAAAAUUAUAACCAAUUAUAUUUUUAUAAUGGAUUAUAAUCAUGACCGUUAUUAAAAAAUAUAACCAGUUACAUUUUUAUAUAACUAGUUAUAAAAUAUAAUCGAUUAUAUUUUAAUUAUAAAUGAUUAUAUUUUUUACAGUUAUAUUUUUUAAUAACUAGUUAUAUUUUAUAAUAACUAUUUAUAGUUACAUUUUAAAAAAAAUAUAAUCAGUUAGAAUAUCUACUUAUAAUGAGUUAUAAUCUCUACUUAUAACUAGUUGUAUUUAAUAUAUAACUGAUUAUAAAAUAUAAUUAGUUCUAAAAAAACUGGUUAUAAAAGAAAAAUGAUUAAUUAUAAUUAUGACUGAUUAUAAUUGUUAUUCGAAUAACUUGUUUGCAACUCAUAAAAUUUAUUGUAGUUGUUCUACACUCUCCUCUUAUUUCCCCCUUAGUGCUUAACUUUUGAAUUUUUAUAAAAGGUUUAAAAGUCAUUAACAACGGAAGUAAGGUUCAAAAGUAUUUAUGAAAUAUGCAGAUCGAUCAGUUAAAUUUAGAAAAACCCAGAAUAGUCACUCUUCCCUACCAACUCUGACGUCGUCGACGAUGACUCCCGCCGUCGCAUCUUCCUCUCCCUCCUCUCCGAUGACGAUCUAACCGCCGUUGGGACCCACCAUCACAUAUCCAAUCGGACGAGAAUUCAAAUCAGAGUUCUGAAUCUCUCUCCUGGUCCGAUGAUGAUAAAGAUUCAGACUCGAUCUCCACCUCUGUUGCAAAUGUUUCUCCCAACGUCAGUACUCUUCAGCUCAUAUGCAAUUGAUCCCGGGUGAAAAUCUUUAAAUCGAUCUCCUACAACGAUUCGCCAGAAUCAAAUCAGUAGAACUUCGUCGAAGUCGAUGAACGCGCAUGAUACAGAAGAGGAUGGACUUUAGAAAGGAAAAAAAGAAAAGAAAAGGACAAUAUAUCUGAAAUACCGAAAAUACCCCUUAUAUCACAAAUUCUGGAAGUCUUGGAAUUUAUUUGCUUGGAUUUUAAACGGCUCUCGUAGUGCGAUCAUAUACGUCCUUUAAAUUAAUUAAUAGAUUCCAUAUUGUCGACGUACGUAGUGAUCAUUCUUGACUUGUGUCUCCAGAUCAGUGUCACAGUUUGUUUAGCUAAUUAAUUAAUCAAGUGAUAUAUUUAAUUUGUUAAUCAAUAAUCUCCAUCCUAUUAGAAAUAUAAUGAUUUAUGACAUAGUAUUAAAGUUUUAUAAUUUUUAAUAACCAACCGUUUUUUCGUUUUGAAACCAGAUGAUCAUCAAUUCAAAUAAUAUAACAAUCAUAAUAUUCAAAAUAUACGAUACUGGUUAAUACAUACCGUUCUGCCCCGAUGAACUUGAUGCUCGUGAGGCGAUUAUAAAUGUGUGUGUGACGGAUUGUGAAUCGUGUAUUAAACUCUAACUAUGUACAGUUAUUGUUCCUCGAGAUUAGAGUUUUUCGGCCCGGUUAGUAUGAAUUAAUUAACGCGCAUCAUAAUAAACCAAAUCAUAUUUACAUGUAACUAAAUUGAUUCAUUGAUUAAUAUCACAUGACAACGAUUUCAUUGUCUCUGGUCAUUGUCUCAUGCAAAUAUUAUAUAUAGUUAUAUCUUGUAGACUUUAGUGUACGUGUGUGGAGAAUAGUGACGACAGAAAGAUACGUAUUUUGUUUUCCAAAUAUUUGGAUAAACUUUGUUUAAAAAAGUCAACUAUUUACUGAUAACCAACCUAAUAGCAAAUGGGACAGAAGAAAGCUACACGAUCAGUCAUUAAGGAUUCAGAUUCAUCAAAUAAAAACCUGUUGAACAUUACGAUUUUUAAUUAUGGUAUAUGCAUAAAAUAGUUUUUUUUUUCUUUUACAACCAAAACUUCGAUCUUAUUAAAACACAUACAAAUCACCCGAGGACCAGGCGGGAAGACUACGCUAAAUACAAAGAUAGUCGAAUAACAAGAUUGACGAGCAACUAAGUGAGCCACCUUAUAUAUCAUCAAAUUAUCAAACAUAAAAUAUAACAGAGUAUUUAAAAUUGAUUGCCAAGGCCCAUGCUGCCAGACACAAACCGUCACACUUCCCAUAUGUAUAUAUGUCAACUCAAAACGUCUACAUCGAUUUAGUUAGGAUUGCCCAGAAAAUCUGGUCACCUGAAGCUCAAAAGUCCACCAUUAUCCAUUGAUGAUCUUCAUAAUAACGGCACCUAUACGUUGAUUUUGUUCACUGGGGACAUAGACACCUAGUCAGUUCCCAAUUAUUGAUGUAGGCAGCUCGAAUUUUCUAAGCUCGAUAACUCAACUGUUCGGAUCGGAUUUUAAUAGUUGAUAUAUGUUUCUUACUCAAUGUAUUUCCAAGUUCGGAAAAUAACACGUUUAAAAAUAGCUUUUAACACCCUUGACUAGUAGAGUUAGAGCUCAAAUCGAGGCAAUCUCGCUCUCAAGCCACCUAACCAGAAAAUUUAAGCUGGCUCGUGAGCACAGUGGUUGGAACUAUUAAUCGGGUACGUUUGCAAACCUAUCAACGGUUUGGAUGAGUUAAAAAGGAGUCGAACCGUCUAUGACUCGAGAGUGAAAGAAAACUUGCAUGGGCUGUCUAUAAAAGGAACAAGGGUUUUCAAAUUUGGUGGACUUUCAUGGAUGGGCCCAUGAUCGAUUUAUUUAUCCACGUAGCGAAAUGAACAAAAGGCCCAUAAACCCAAAUUCUCAAACACCCAGAUAGCCAGAUGGUUCCUUAUUGUCUGCGGAUGGAACCACUAAGCUGAGAGCUUUGAUAUCCACCUGAUUCAUGCACUGACUCGUGUACAGCAGCAGUUCCUUGUUAUUGCCCGUAAUAUUAUCUGCGAAUAAUUGGUAAUUACCGAUUUUCGAUCUGUCUCGAGUUGGUUGAGAUAGUUUCUUUAUCUUAAGGUCACGACUAACCAUUGAUACUUUUACCACAACUAUAGCAUUAAUAUCACAGCCGUGGCCGAUCCAUCUAUCGCGCCAGCGUGGACCAGUAACCCACAUUGCCAUUCCUCUGUAGAGUAAUGAGGGCCCAAAACCAUUAGCUUAAGGCCCACGUAAUAUUCUAUUAGAGUGGGCCCGUCGAAUUUGAGUGGAUAGAAAAACUUUGAUGUCGGCAGCUUACUUUAGAUCCAUCAAAAUAUCUUACACAUGUCGGCCAGUCGGCCGCGUGAACUCAUUCAUGUUGUUAAUACAAACGAUCACUUCGUCAACUAAUUGCCGCAAUUAGAGGCAAAAGUCAUCUUUCAACCAAUGAAAUAAACCUCGAUCAGGAGAAGAAAUUACACGAGAUGAAAUUAAAAAAACUGUUUUAAAUUAGCUAAGAAAUCUACGGCACAAUUUGCCUCAUAGAGAAUAUAAAAUCGCAGAACUAAAAUGCAUGUUGAUGAUCGAGCGAAAAGUAAGUUAUGAGAAAAUAAAAAUAUAUGUUUCUCGAAUCCAUCUCAAUAUGCAAACAUCGAAUACUCUUUGUUAAGAGUAAUACAAGGAAGACACAAUAUAUAUAAUUACGUGAAAUAAUUGGCAAGCUGUAGCCCGCCAGCUCACUGAAAGAAUUGCAAGCAGCCAAAAAUAGAGAACAGUUUAGUUAAUUAAAUUAGACAUAUGCGGAUAAAACACAGGCGACAGAUUCGCUUCUGCAACGUGUCAAUCAAUUACAAGCCGUGCUCCGCCAGAAAGCGCCCACGUGUCCUACACAAACAGUAAAUAAUAUUAUCUUAAUGCAACCUCAGUCAACAAGUCAACCCAUUUGCUUAACUAUCACUUAAUCCAAAGUAAUUAAAACCCCCGCUAAUCUAAUCAUUUCCGCGCCUCCUAUUAAUAUCUCUGUAAACGGAACCCUUCACUCAAAAUUUAAAAACCAACCUUUUGAAGCUGAGACAACAAUGGCGAAACAGAGCUACUUAGCGAUGAAGAUCGACGGAGCAAGCAGCGCACUGAUUGCUUCAGAUUUCAACGAACUAGCCGCCGCAGCGAAGAACUUGGCAAUCCACGUCGGAGCCGUCGCCGGAUUCGGAACCUCCCUGUUCCAGUGGCUCGCUGCAAUCUCCGCCAUGUAAAAUGCUUGUUGCUCGAAACCCUAAUUUCUUUUCAUUUUUUGUUUUUGUAUCGUCGAUUUGAAUGGAAUUGGAUCGUUCUGUAUGUGUAACAGAUAUCUACUGAUACUGGAUCGGACGAAUUGGAAGACUAACAUUCUCACAGGGUUACUCAUCCCUUACAUCUUCUUCACCUUGCCUCAUUUCCUCUUCAGUUUCCUCCGGUAAAGUUCAGAUUUGGACGAAUCUUUCCUUGAUUAGAUUUCAAACUGAUGAAUUGAAUGUUCAUUGAACCAAUUUUUUUACCUGGAGUUUUGCUUACAGAGGGGAGAUCGGGAAAUGGGCUGCGCUCGUCGCUAUUGUGGUUCGCCUGUUCUUCCCCAGCCAAUUCGCAGGUGAGAUUAUAGAGUCUGGUGUAAAAUUUACUUCCAUCAAUCCUGGUUAAUAUAGCCUUUAAUCAGCACUGGUUGUUGGAUAAACGGAAGUUCCCAGAAGAGUACAAGGUUUGCAGAACUUGAUAUUGGGAGAUAGUUUAUGAUGUGAUAUCAGACUUUUUGUUUAACAAAAAAGCCAUCGUUUCAAAUUUCAAUAACUCCAAAUCUGUUACCAAAACUGUGCAAAACUCCAAGCCGUGUACCCCCUGAUAGCCUCCCUUCGAGGAGCAGGGGUAUUAGCUCAUAAUCUAAAAUCAAUUUAAAUCAUCUUCCAAUGACUCGAGUUAGUUAUCAGAGCCUUUAACGUUUACGAGGUCUUCGUUUCAAAUUUAGGUAGUUUCCAAUCUGUACACAUAACUUAUCAAAAUUAUAAAAAUUUCAACUUGAAGAUUAAAGAGGCAUGUUGAUAAAUAAUAUAAAAUUAUGGUCUGACCUUUUUUCAACCACUUUUGAAUUAUUAGAAUAAAAUAGUUCUCGACGUGGAUUAAAAAAACUUGACAUUUUGUCCUUUUGGGAUUCAAAAACUUCAGAUUUUGUCAUGAAUUAUGGCUUUUUGAGUCAUUUUAUAUCGUUCAUUGCCAGUUAUUGGAAUCGAUUAUAGACUAAAUGAGAUUGUUGGAAUCUUUUUUGGUACAGAAUGGCUAGAGAUGCCGGCUUCGUCGAUCCUACUAAUAGUGGUGGCACCAGAGUUGAUCGCCGGCUACGCGAGAGGGAACUGGAUCGGAGUAGCGAUAUGCCUUGGGAUUGCCUGCUACUUGCUCCAGGAACACAUCAGAGCCUCCGGCGGGUUUAAGAACGCCUUCACCAAAGAAGCAGGAAUCUCCAACACCAUUGGAAUUUGUCUCCUCUUUGUUUACCCUGCCUACUCUCUCAUCAGAAGUAUCCUCUGAGAGAGAUUAGUUGUGAUUUCUUUCAGUGUUUGCUUUUGUGUUUCUUUUUUUGCGAUUCAAUUAAAAUUAAUGGGUUUGGACAGCAAUGUUAUCAAAUUUGAUGAUGUUGUUGUCCUACCGUAUGCAUUCUUGUUCAUGUCUUUUUCUCGAUUUAAAAGGUAGAGCUCCGAUCUUUGGUUGAUAAACUUGUUUAUCGGAGUCCGAGUUGUGACUCAUAUUGAUUGCCGACUGACAAACGAUACCCGAAAAGACACAACCUUCAUCAAGAUCGGUGUGACAUUGGGUCAAAAUAUCGCUAAACUAUGUAAAAUCGGUCUCCCGCCCGCCAGCCGUCAGACGACCUCUUUAACGUCCGUUUCAAACACCACCUUCUCAUGGCCAGCAUCCACCUCAUUGCAGCCAGCAGAGCGCGGGCCUCGCUUUCGAUCCCCGGAGUUUAUUAAGAUUUUUUAACCACAUUCAUAUAAUUUGAUUUCUUCAAUGAUUAAUCUCGGCAGCUGUAGUUCAUUAAACGCAGUGCGGAUUUUGCUUAAUCGUCCGCCCCUACGGACACUUUAAUACAACGGUGGGUCAUGGGUCCGUUCGGAUCCAACGGUGAAAUAUGUCCAACUUGUUUUUUUUUUCAUUUUUUCCUACACCAUAUCUUUUCGAUUUGAGUUGGUUUUAUAUUGAGUUUUGGGUUGCGAUUUUGGAUUUUUGGGUUUUAGAUUUUGGGUUUGGUUUAGUGUAAAAAAAUAAUGUUCAUGUUCGGUUGGUUUUAAUUUUGAGUGUUGGGUCAAACUGAAAAUUUAAAAUCCAAAUUGAAAACCUAAUACUCCAUACCCUAAACCUUAAACUCUAAACAUAUCCAAAAUAAAAAAACCCAAAACUACGCAAAAUUCAAUUUAAAACCAACUCGAACCAAAAAGAUNNNNNNNNNNNNNNNNNNNNNNNNNNNNNNNNNNNNNNNNNNNNNNNNNNNNNNNNNNNNNNNNNNNNNNNNNNNNNNNNNNNNNNNNNNNNNNNNNNNNNNNNNNNNNNNNNNNNNNNNNNNNNNNNNNNNNNNNNNNNNNNNNNNNNNNNNNNNNNNNNAUUUUAUUUUUAUAAAAUUAUAAAUAAAAAAUAUGAAAUAAAUAUAUCUUGUGAAUAUUAUAAAAAUAGAUUUUAAUUUAUUAAAAUGGACUGCACGAAGUAAAAACAGACUGUACGAAGGAAAAGUGGAUUGUGUUCGUAAAAAUGGAUUGGACAAAGUAAUUUUUUUAAUUAAGAGUAUAUUAGUUUAUAUACGGACUGUACGAAAUAAAGACAGACUAUAUAUAACAUUAAAAAAAAACACAAGUUGAAAACAUAUCACCGUUGGAUUCUGCCGAAUUCAUCAACGACCGUAUCAAGUCUCCACCGGGGCGGACGAUUAAGCAGUCCGCACCCAAGUAAUUUUGCAUUCAACACCCAGCUCACUGUAUCCAAAACUUAACAGCUCAAACAAAAAGAAAACAAUAUCCAAUAGUAGAAAUAUGCGGAUAUCAAUAGAUUCGCAUCGGCCACGUGUCGACCAUCUACAAGUGGUUUUCCGCCAGCAAGCGCUGACGUGGCCUACACAAAUAAUGCACUGAGUCAACAAGUCAACUCAUUUGCUUAACCGACAAUUAAUUCAAAGUAAUUAAAACUGCUAAUCUAAUCAAUAAUCAUUUCCGAAGGCAUACUUUUGCAGCGGAAGGAAUCCCCCCUAUUGAGAGGAAUUAGGGUUUUAAAAAUCUAUAAACUUUCGAGGUCGAUCGUAGUCUUCUUUCCAUCGAAUUUCCCCCCGACAAUAACACCACCAUCGUCUCUAUCACGAUUACAUAAUCAAAACAAGUUAAGGGUUUCAACAACCCUCGAUAUUUUCUUUCAACGCUGAUUGUUGCAUCGCUGUGUCGCUUUCCUCCCUUUAUUGAUCAUUACCGUCGCCCCCUCUCCCCUCUCCACCCGCCGAUCACCAUGGCGAGCACUACAACCACUGUUGCGGAGACGACCGAAGAAGAAACUGAAGCAAAUAGUGUCAUAAAAGGUGUGGUAUAAAGUUUCGAGAGCCUCUCGAAACAUAUGAAAGGUAUUCAGGGAAAUCCAAAAAAUCUGACAACGGCAGAUUUGAACAACAGGUCCUGCCCCAAGAAGUGAUCCGCCGACGAAAACUCACUUGAGGUAUCGGUUUUUCAAGUGUUUGAUAUUUUGGGUGUCUCCAAUUCGGAUUUCACCAGUCUUUUAUUGCUUUUUAAGUUUCAGAAUUCAUAUGUUUCUUUCUGAUUGAACAAUUAUUUAUUUAUUUAUUUUCAUUAUUGCUAUCGUGUAGAAUUUAGAGUUUGAAAUAUUAACUCAUAUAUAAGGGUUUUUGAUAGAGAAAUGAUUAAAAACAUAAAAAUAAGAGAUUAAAUUACUUUUUUAUAAGGUUGAACUUUACUCGUUAUGAAUGAUAAUUUUUUUUUAAAAUUAUUUGACAAACUUAAUAUGAUUUGGUUAAGAGUAUAAUAAUAUAAGUAGAUCAUUUUUUAAACCCAAAAUCAAUUAUCAUUUCCGGCCUCCUAUUAAUAUCUCUGUAAAAUAAAUCAUUCACUCUUAAGAGCUGAAACAAUGGCGAGACAGAGCUACUUAGCGAUGAAGAUCGACGGAGCAAGCACCGCACUGAUCGCUUCCGAUUUCAACGACCUAACCGCCGCAGCGAAGAACUUAGCAAUCCACGUCGGAGCCGUUGCCGGAUUCGGAACCUCCCUGUUCCAGUGGCUCGCUGCAAUCUCCGCCAUGUAAAAUGCUUGUUGCUCGAAACCCUAAUUUCUUUUCAUUUUUUGUUUUUGUAUUGUCGAUUUGAAUGGAAUUGGAUCGUUCUGCAUGUGUAACAGAUAUCUACUGAUACUGGAUCGGACGAAUUGGAAGACUAACAUUCUCACAGGGUUACUCAUCCCUUACAUCUUCUUCACCUUGCCUCAUUUCCUCUUCAGUUUCCUCCGGUAAAGUUCAGAUUUGGACGAAUCUUUGCUUGAUUGGAUUUCAAACUGAGUUCAGUGGUUGGAAUGUUCGUUGACCUUUUCUUCUGGAUUUUGUUUGCAGAGGGGAAGUGGGGAAAUGGGUUGCGCUUGUUGCUGUUGUGCUUCGCUUGUUCUUCCCCAGCCGAUUCCCAGGUAAGAUUUUGAGAGUCUGAUUUACAUUACCUUCGUCGAUUCGGUAUAAAAUCCGGGGAGCAUCUCGUUCAUAUGAUCAGGGUUUUUCGGAUCCAGAAGUACACAAUAUAUAUCCUACGCUGCUCAAAUGGAAGCUUUCACAAAAGUCUUGAGAUUUGCAUUAACUUCAAUAAUUUUUAUGAGCAUUUGACUGUUUGUAUCAGUCAAAUGUUCAUAUAUGAUGUCAAUGAACCACUUCUAUCUAAUAAUUCGAGCGAGUUGUUAAGAGAAGAGAGGGUGUAAUGUCAAUUUUAUAUUAUUCAUCGACGACCGGUUGAAAUCGAUUAGAUUGAAUGGGAUGUAAGCAAACCAUGGGGCUAACAAAUUGUUGAAAAUUGUUGCUUAUUGGACAGAUUGGCUAGAGAUGCCAGCAUCAUCGAUCCUGCUAAUAGUGGUGGCACCAGAGUUGAUCGCCGGCUACGUGAGAGGGAACUGGAUCGGAAUAGCGAUAUGCCUUGGGAUCGCCUGCUAUUUGCUGCAAGAACACAUCAGAGAAUCCGGCGGGUUCAGGAACGCCUUCACCAAAGAAGCAGGAAUCUCCAACACCAUCGGAAUUGUUCUCCUCUUUGUUUACCCUGCCUACUUUUUCAUCAGAAAUACUCUCUGACGAGACAAACACACCACCAACUGUGAUUUCUCAGUUUCUGAGUUCUUCAGUGAUUGUUCUUUUCUGUUUCUCUUUCUGUGAUUCAAUCAAAUCUAUGGUUGUUGGACAACAAUGUUAUCAAAUUUGAUGAUGUUUUUGUCCUACCAUCCUCUUGUAACUUGUUCAUGUCUUUCUCUCAGCUUUAAUGUACCUGCUUAUGGUGGCCCGAGUCGUAACUUGAAUUAACUCGAAUUGAUUAUCGAAGUGCGAGCCUGCUUAUCAUGAUCCAACUCCAUCUCUGGCUCGAGUGGAUAAAACAUAACAACUCAUAGCUCAUCCACUUGUAACCUGAUGAGCCGAUAAUCUGAAAUUUUAACUUGUAACUCACCUAAUUUACAGCGUGAUGGACUAGUAAUCCACAACUCGAUGGGUAAACAUUUAACAUGAUAAAGCCUUAACAAGAUCGAGUCAGAACUCAAUUAAUUGUUUCCAUUGAUCGACUGUAAGCUUGUAACAGCUAAUAAGCCUAUAUAAAUAAACUCUUUGAACAACUCGUGAAGCAUACUAGAACGGCCAAAUGAUCCUUCUUCUCUAACCUUCUGCUCCGGCGAGCUAUAAUCGCCGCCGCCGGAGGAACCUCCCAUUUCCAUGAUGCUUAGUAGUGGUGGAAAGUCAAAACUGGAGGUUGCAUGGAAACUUGUAGCAGUGGAAAGUCCACUGACGAAGUCCCAUGGAUGGCAAGUGUUCUCAGUGGGAAAAUUUUAAAAUAUCUCAAUUUCGGGUCCCCCUCCCCAUUAAGGCUUCCGCUCCGAUGCGGUCAUCUCCACUUUAGUAUACCAUAUUCCACACUUCAUUGCCGUGCAUCUAUCUCAUCUCAUUGGUUUAUUACUUUUCUGCUCAUGAAAUUUUUGAAUCAUAACCUGCAAGCCACCGGUCUUUAGACGACGUUCGUAUACUCAUCGAAGUUGGGAAGAAUAGUUUAACGCACUGUUCUUUUACGGCUUCGUGAUACAAUUUUAUUUAAGUCUUCAUUCCAUUGCCAACAUAUAUUCUCCUUGUCUCUUCUCCGAUGAUGAGUUGAUAUACGAAAAAGAAAUUUUAUAUCGUGAGUAACAAAAUUUUCAUUGCCAUACAAUUUUUCAAUAGACCGAAAAAGAAAGCGGUGAGUGAAAUUUGAGUAAGGAUGAAAAUGUGGUCUCAUUUUGUGUUUGGAUUUUUAAAUUAACUAAUCUAUUCAAUUGCAUUCAUAUCGGUUAUAUCGGUUGAUUCAAUCAGAGCCACCGUGAGUCAAUCGGACGUGUGACGUUUUUCUGAGUUUUUUUUACUUUUCUCCAGGUUCACUACUCUGGCUGUAUACGAUAAAAUUUCACACAACCCCGCCUUAAAUUCACCAAAGCUGACGUGUCAGUUCUACUUCCUUUUUUCCCUCUUCUUCUCAUCUUCCCCUGUCAAAUUUCCUUAAAAAUUAUUCCACCACCAUCAAACAAAAAAUCCGCCACUGAUCCACAACUCUCUCCACCACCGUCAAGCGGCUGCCCACACCGCAGCGCACGCGCCGGUCAACACACAACCCCACCCGAUCCACCCCCCUCCCCCCCACCGUCAAACGGCGGCCGACGAUGACGAUCCUCGGCAGAUCCACCGCAUCCCCUUCCCCUUCCCCUGCUCCGUCCCCUUCACCCCUUACUCACCACAACCACAACUACCACCACAGGUUCCACAUCCACCGACCUCCGCUGGACUCAGGAGCUUCUUCAUCAUCGCUACCGUCCACCUCGUCCCCUUCCACAGUCGAAUUCAGUCCGCCGCUGAUCGCGAUGGUGGUCGUGGUAGCCGCUGCUCUGCUUGUUAUCACCUACUCCCGCCUGAUCUCCCGAUCCCUCGUCAUGCUCCUCCGCCGCUACCGCCGCCGCACCCCGCGGGCGCGCCGCCGACGCAGGCGGCGUCACUUUCCGAAUUCCGCUCCAUCGUCAACAGGGGGCGGCGAUCGACUCGACUCUCCUCUACCGUUCUUUGACUCCCCUGACGAAUUCCACCACCUCUACUACCCUAACUAUGGCCUCGACGAGUCGGUGAUCAAGACGAUCCCGAUCUCCCUCUACACCAAAUCGCUAAAGCCGCCGCAGUCGCCUGCGGCGACCAGAGAUUGCGCCGUCUGCUUGCUGGAGUUCGAACACGGUCGAGACUACGUCCGCACUCUCCCGAACUGCUCGCACGCGUUCCACGUGGACUGCAUCGACAUCUGGCUUAGGUCUCACGCCAACUGUCCACUCUGCCGCUCCCGGAUCUUCCUCCCAUCAUCCCCUCCUCCGCCGUUCGUCCCACUGAUGGCAGCUCGAAUCCGCCCCAGCUUCGUCGAGAAUCCGAAUUUCCUCCUCCCGGAUCUCGAGUUCCAACCUUCCGUAAUCCGAGAAUCCUCCGAAAUCACUCCCUGCGUCGAAGAAGACGAAGAGGAUGAGGAAAGAAUCAACGAUUUCGGUCUGGACAGCAGCAUUAGCAGAAGGAACAACAACUUCAACAACCUCUUAAAGCGGUCCUACUCGUUCGGAUUCGAGCGAUCCGAGAGAAUGACGCUGGCGACCGAGCCGGCUACAGUGUCUC
Molecule: long non-coding RNA, 25269 nt
Filed under: Linum usitatissimum (flax)
Lineage: Eukaryota; Viridiplantae; Streptophyta; Magnoliopsida; Malpighiales; Linaceae
Description: long non-coding RNA (LUSI_LNC002676)
Source: RNAcentral